This 429-nucleotide ribosomal RNA is filed under the name Actinomycetes bacterium. RNAcentral's name for it is "Actinobacteria bacterium partial 16S ribosomal RNA". It matches the Rfam family "Bacterial small subunit ribosomal RNA", at positions 355 to 776 of the family's 1533-position model. Lineage: Bacteria; Bacillati; Actinomycetota; Actinomycetes. RNAcentral also lists the same sequence under 1 other name. The record is from RNAcentral.
UAGGGAAUCUUCCGCAAUGGGCGAAAGCCUGACGGAGCAACGCCGCGUGAGUGAUGAAGGUCUUCGGAUCGUAAAACUCUGUUAUUAGGGAAGAACAAAUGUGUAAGUAACUAUGCACGUCUUGACGGUACCUAAUCAGAAAGCCACGGCUAACUACGUGCCAGCAGCCGCGGUAAUACGUAGGUGGCAAGCGUUAUCCGGAAUUAUUGGGCGUAAAGCGCGCGUAGGCGGUUUUUUAAGUCUGAUGUGAAAGCCCACGGCUCAACCGUGGAGGGUCAUUGGAAACUGGAAAACUUGAGUGCAGAAGAGGAAAGUGGAAUUCCAUGUGUAGCGGUGAAAUGCGCAGAGAUAUGGAGGAACACCAGUGGCGAAGGCGACUUUCUGGUCUGUAACUGACGCUGAUGUGCGAAAGCAUGGGGAUCAAACAGG